This 506-nucleotide long non-coding RNA is filed under the name Mus spicilegus (steppe mouse). Its description in RNAcentral is "lncRNA (ENSMSIG00000003338.1)". The record is from RNAcentral. Lineage: Eukaryota; Metazoa; Chordata; Mammalia; Rodentia; Muridae.
AUGGAAUUCAGGCGGAACAUCUUUUGGAAAGCCCAGAGAGGGAAUCGUGCACAGGAGAUCCAGCAUCUGCCCGAAGAACAAAGGAAAUCCCUUAUUUUAGUGGCCUUUAAAGGAGAGAGUUCUCCUAGUUAGAGGGAAUGGGUUUCUGAGGGUAGUAAUUUUGUGACAAUACUAGACAGAAUAUGAAGAGGUCAGUCACAAAGGUUUGUUCCAAGAAUGACUUUUGGAAUCAUGCUGCCCUGCCUUCUGCGUCUUCACCAAGAAUUUGCUACCAGAGACCAAGCUCUACUACUACUUGAUUACUUCUGGCCCAUAUCCAGCAGGAAGCAGCCAAAAUAGCCCAGCAAUCAUUGGUAUAUCAUCUUCUUCCUAUGAAGGAGCAGCAGCCAUUUCUCCAGUGCUGGCGAAGAGAAAAAAAACUACCAACAUGAGAAAGAGAAGAGUUAUCCUGGUGACAGCUGAAGAGGUUGAAUUGAAUGAGUGGGUCAAAUGUGUCUCUCUAACAG